CUUGCACAACUUUUUACUGGGAGAUCCAGUGGAUUGCUCUUCGUCUUACACAACUUGUAUUUUGACGUACCAAAGCCUUCCACCAAGGAGGUUCAGGAAAUCAUCCCCGUCUUCAACCCCCUAGGAGUGGCUGCCCGGAAACCUGCGGGAACAGGUGUAUGUAUCACGAGUGCAAAAUACUGCUAUGUCCCUGCAAGGAAAAGUGCACCAACCAAGACUAUACCAAACGCGAUUUUGUUCAAGGCAGUCAUCUGAAAAUGUUCAAAAGGUUUUGGCUUGCGAACUUUGGUGGGACUUGCACAACUUUUUAAUGUAACCGACAGCAAUCGUCGCUUGCAAGAAGCCAACUGGUGUAU
Long non-coding RNA from Zophobas morio, 356 nucleotides. RefSeq lists it as uncharacterized. The transcript is spliced from 4 exons. NCBI's taxonomy places the organism in Eukaryota, Metazoa, Arthropoda, Insecta, Coleoptera, Tenebrionidae. The record is from RefSeq and is a predicted model, not a curated record.